GAUGAACGCUGGCGGCGUGCCUAAUACAUGCAAGUCGAGCGAACAGACGAGGAGCUUGCUCCUCUGACGUUAGCGGCGGACGGGUGAGUAACACGUGGAUAACCUACCUAUAAGACUGGGAUAACUUCGGGAAACCGGAGCUAAUACCGGAUAAUAUAUUGAACCGCAUGGUUCAAUAGUGAAAGACGGUUUUGCUGUAACUUAUAGAUGGAUCCGCGCCGCAUUAGCUAGUUGGUAAGGUAACGGCUUACCAAGGCAACGAUGCGUAGCCGACCUGAGAGGGUGAUCGGCCACCCUGGAACUGAGACACGGUCCAGGCUCCUGCGGGAGGCAGCAGUAGGGAAUCUUACGCAAUGGGCGAAAGCCUGACGGAGCGACGCCGCGUGAGUGAUGAAGGUCUUCGGAUCGUAAAACUCUGUUAUUAGGGAAGAACAAAUGUGUAAGUAACUAUGCACGUAUUGACGGUACCUGAUCAGAAAGCCACGGCUAACUACGUG
RNAcentral lists this ribosomal RNA (497 nucleotides) under uncultured bacterium. RNAcentral describes it as "partial 16S ribosomal RNA". It matches the Rfam family "Bacterial small subunit ribosomal RNA", at positions 28 to 507 of the family's 1533-position model. The record is from RNAcentral.